Molecule: ribosomal RNA, 600 nt
Filed under: Aspergillus niger
Lineage: Eukaryota; Fungi; Ascomycota; Eurotiomycetes; Eurotiales; Aspergillaceae
Description: eukaryotic LSU rRNA
Rfam family: 5.8S ribosomal RNA (bases 217-370)
Source: RNAcentral
UCCGUAGGUGAACGUGCGGAAGGAUCAUUACCGAGUGCGGGUCCUUUGGGCCCAACCUCCCAUCCGUGUCUAUUGUACCCUGUUGCUUCGGCGGGCCCGCCGCUUGUCGGCCGCCGGGGGGGCGCCUCUGCCCCCCGGGCCCGUGCCCGCCGGAGACCCCAACACGAACACUGUCUGAAAGCGUGCAGUCUGAGUUGAUUGAAUGCAAUCAGUUAAAACUUUCAACAAUGGAUCUCUUGGUUCCGGCAUCGAUGAAGAACGCAGCGAAAUGCGAUAACUAAUGUGAAUUGCAGAAUUCAGUGAAUCAUCGAGUCUUUGAACGCACAUUGCGCCCCCUGGUAUUCCGGGGGGCAUGCCUGUCCGAGCGUCAUUGCUGCCCUCAAGCCCGGCUUGUGUGUUGGGUCGCCGUCCCCCUCUCCGGGGGGACGGGCCCGAAAGGCAGCGGCGGCACCGCGUCCGAUCCUCGAGCGUAUGGGGCUUUGUCACAUGCUCUGUAGGAUUGGCCGGCGCCUGCCGACGUUUUCCAACCAUUCUUUCCAGGUUGACCUCGGAUCAGGUAGGGAUACCCGCUGAACUUAAGCAUAUCAAUAAGCGGAGGAA